AGUGUAAGUACGCUUGAUGAAAGCUUUCUCGUUUUUUAUGCGGAUCGCCGCAACUUUUUGUGGGCUCUUCUAGCCAGCACCAGCAGCCAGCAGAAGUGAUACAGCCAGCCCUGAGAUCACGUCGGAUUGUUCCGCGAUCCAGUUGGCCAGUGCCGCAGUUAACCGUAUCAAAAGUUAAUACGUUUUACCCCAAUCCAAAACGCAGUGUCCGAGUGCAGAAGUGACUUUUUCCGGCUACCGGAAAUUGUAAACCAAUUGUGAAUUUGCCACCAGAAGAUGUGAAAAGUUUUCGAGUGAAUCGGAAAGUGCCUGUCGUGAGAGGUAGAAACAUAACGGGAUCAGGGCCGAACCAAUUCGAGUGCGGCCCGAAGUGUAGUGAAAAUUACCGUAAGAACACGGUAAAACUAGGGCGGAUAGAAGGUGGUGGCUGAGUGGAUUUUAAAGGACAUCUGUGUGUAGACGACGAAGACUGCAACAGCAUAGGUGUCUCCAGAAAAAUGCUAAUUUGCUAUCACACACUAGCGCCGCCACCUUGAACGACACAACUAUAUUAAAAAAAAGAUCUUAUACCGUGCACAGGGUUGUGUGUCAGUAGACGAAGUUCACCUCACGAAUACUGAUGGGGAUCCGAGCUUGUGAGUUGGGAAAAAUUAACCAAAAGGAGUGAUUUCAUGAACACGGAAAAUCAUGCAGAAGAGGGUCGGUAUUGAAUUCAGUUUAGUUCGUUUUUAUUUUGUACGGUUUAAAAAAUAUGCGAGUUAAGUGCUGCAAACGAGUGUAACAAGACGUGUGGACGACAUGGGAAGUUUUCUGAACUUUUGACAGCGCACACAAGCCCGUGUCCGGAAGGUAAAAUACCCAUACAUAUACGGUGAUAGUGGGUGUAUGCGCAAAGAACUGAAGAAAAAUUCAUUCGAAAAGGAAAAGCGCAGUGAUUUUUUUGGAUGGUAGAACAAAUAAAAAUUCCUUGGGCAUAGUAGACAUGAUAACGUGAAAGUGAUUCUGUCGAAAGAACAAGUUGAACGCUGUGCGAGUGUUUGGGACUUUAAUUGAUGAAUGAUACGGUUGAAUCACGCGGCGGGGUGUGUUUACGUGAAGUGUAUCUAUUUGAUGCAAUUUUCUUCGCCCCUGCGGUAGUGUUUGUGUGCUGUGACGCAGAAAGUGGGUCUUUCUCGAAUGAAACUUCACAAACACAUGGAUACUAGCGAGUUCUAUCGCGACAAACUGGCGACUGACGAUUCAUUUUAACCAAGCGAAAAGGAUCAACGGAAAGGAAGUAUUUUAGCUGGUGAUGUACGUGUGUUCUCUCUCUCUCCCUAGAGUGUCUUCUCUCUAGAGUGUCAAUAAAUUGCCUGUAUAGAGCUAAGUGUGUUACAAAUCAUGCAUUGUAAAUGCUGAAUAAAAAAAGAAACAGUGAACAUGUACCGUAUCAUAUUGUAAAUAUUAUCUUCUGCGAUCGCGUUCCGUUAUUGCUUGCCUCUAGAGUGAAUAUAGACAGUUUCCUCGGAAUCCGUUGCCAGUACGCUUGGUGAGGAAGAUCCUGUGAGUAAUUGUAUUAUAUGUAAAGUUGCAAAGGAAAAUAGCCGGAGAAAAAAUAUUCGUUUAAUUCCUAAUCAUGAGAAAACCCGACAGUGUAUUAUCGAGCAGAUAACGCAGUGCUGUGUGUGUGCGGGAAAAAAAUCUAACGCUAUCAGAUCGAUCGUCGUACGUGUGUGACAGAAUCCGACUACUGUUAAGCGGAAGAAGACUCGACUCGCAAAUCUUAAUCUGUAAUCGAAAUUCGGAAAAUGCAGCGUCGCGAAGCUCCAAACAAGGAACAACAGCAGCGUGAAGGCCGCGAGCGUGACGUCGCACGACAGACAAGGUGAGCUUCAAACUUGUACCUCACUAACUGACUCACGCAUAUAAUCAUAUCGAUUUCGUGUGCGUGUGUGUGUUGUAUGUGUGUCUGUGCGCAGGCGUCGCCGCGCGGUCGCCUGAUAGUCGCAAAGCAUAGUGUGGUGCAAUUGCGGUGGUAAGUGAAGUGAGGAAUCAGAAGAAGCCAAGCAGAAAAAAGAACACGAAACUGCUGCGCCCAGUGCAUUUUUCGGUGCGUAUGUGUGCAAGUGUUGAAAAGACAGCAGCAGUACGAGUGCGGAGAAUCCAGUGAAAUAGAGAGAAAAGUUAGCCACACUCCAUCACCCACUGAGUCACAUUUGGCACAGUAGGAGUCAUUUGCCAGUGACCUCCGAGAUGAAUGC
Wyeomyia smithii (pitcher-plant mosquito) is the source of this 2240-nucleotide long non-coding RNA. RefSeq lists it as uncharacterized. Lineage: Eukaryota; Metazoa; Arthropoda; Insecta; Diptera; Culicidae. The record is from RefSeq and is a predicted model, not a curated record. The transcript has 3 exons.